AUGGCAACGCCACAAAAAAUGCCGAAGCAAACACGGAGCAGAAUCGCUGUUUCCUCCCCAAAGGGAGCCCGUGGGGACCCCAGAGUGUCCCCGCCUCUGCUCGGGGCGCAGAGGGGGGAGCGGGGCUGGUGCCCCCGGGCCGUGACGGGGCUCCCACCUUCCCCUUUCGAGAGGAUGCUCGGCCCCGCAGGAACCGCGCUCGGCUGCGCCUGCCUCUGCACUGGCAGCCUCCUGCAGCCGGCAGGCUUUGCACCGCGGGUGCUGCCUGCAUCCCAGACCCAUCCUGCAUCCCAAAUCCAUCCUGCAUCCCAGACCCAUCCUGCAUCCCAGAGCCCUCCUGCAUCCCAGAGCCCUCCUGCAUCCCAGAGCCCUCCUGCAUCCCAGAGCCCUCCUGCAUCCCAGAGCCCUCCUGCAUCCCAGAGCCCUCCUGCAUCCCAGAGCCCUCCUGCAUCCCAGAGCCCUCCUGCAUCCCAGAGCCCUCCUGCAUCCCAGAGCCCUCCUGCAUCCCAGAGCCCUCCUGCAUCCCAGAGCCCUCCUGCAUCCCAGAGCCCUCCUGCAUCCCAGAGCCCUCCUGCAUCCCAGAGCCCUCCUGCAUCCCAGAGCCCUCCUGCAUCCCAGAGCCCUCCUGCAUCCCAGAGCCCUCCUGCAUCCCAGAGCCCUCCUGCAUCCCAGAGCCCUCCUGCAUGUCAAAUCCAUCCUACACCGUGGGUGCUGCCUGAAUCCCAAAUCCAUCCUGCAUCCCAGAGCUCACCUGCAUCCCAAACCCAUCCUGCAUCCCAAAUCCAUCCUGCAUCCCAGGUCCAUCCCCCACCCCAUCUCCCUGCUGCACCCUGGUUUCAAGGCAGCUCCUUUGAGGUGCAGGGGAGGGGGGCUCAGCAGGUCCCUCCAGGGCAGAGGUGCCACUGCCUGUGGUCCCUGUGUGCAGGGGACAGCAGGGGGACAGCAGGGGACAGUGCAUGGCCUCGUGUGCUGAUGUGUUGGGCACAUUCAUCUUCAGUUUCUCAAGGUGACUUUUGAUAAAGCAUCUGUAAAACCACGUUGUUUUUCUUUGAGUAUUAUUAAAGUGCUUGAUUUAUGCUAAUUAAAUACCAAUUAACUUCCAAGCACUUAAUGUGCUUUAAGGACAUAA
This 1129-nucleotide long non-coding RNA is filed under the name Ficedula albicollis (Collared flycatcher). RNAcentral's name for it is "lncRNA (ENSFALG00000027736.1)". Lineage: Eukaryota; Metazoa; Chordata; Aves; Passeriformes; Muscicapidae. The record is from RNAcentral.